CUGGUGCCAGCAGCCGCGGUAAUUCCAGCUCCAAUAGCGUAUAUUAAAGUUGUUGCAGUUAAAAAGCUCGUAGUUGAAUUUCGGGGUUAGUAGGUUGGUCAUGCCUCUGGUAUGUACUGGUCUCACUGAUUCCUCCUUCCUGAUGAACCGUAAUGCCAUUAAUUUGGUGUUGCGGGGAAUUUGGACUGUUACUUUGAAAAAAUUAGAGUGUUUAAAGCAAGCUAACGCUUGAAUACAUUAGCAUGGAAUAAUGAAAUAGGACGUUCGAUCCUAUUUUGUUGGUUUCUAGGAUUGACGUAAUGAUUAAUAGGGAUAGUUGGGGGCAUUAGUAUUCAAUUGUCAGAGGUGAAAUUCUUGGAUUUAUUGAAGACUA
This 373-nucleotide ribosomal RNA is filed under the name uncultured Glomus. RNAcentral describes it as "SSU rRNA". It matches the Rfam family "Eukaryotic small subunit ribosomal RNA", at positions 561 to 938 of the family's 1831-position model. The record is from RNAcentral. Lineage: Eukaryota; Fungi; Glomeromycota; Glomeromycetes; Glomerales; Glomeraceae.